This 453-nucleotide ribosomal RNA is filed under the name uncultured bacterium. RNAcentral's name for it is "bacterial SSU rRNA". It matches the Rfam family "Bacterial small subunit ribosomal RNA", at positions 29 to 524 of the family's 1533-position model. The record is from RNAcentral.
ACGAACGCUGGCGGCAUGCCUAACACAUGCAAGUCGAACGCUCCGGGCAACCGGGGAGUGGCGGACGGGUGAGUAACGCGUGGGAACCUGCCUUGAAGUUCGGAAUAACCGCGGGAAACUGCGGCUAAUACCGGAUGUGGCCUGAGGGCCAAAGGGGAAACUCGCUUCGAGAGGGGCCUGCGUCCGAUUAGCUAGUUGGCGGGGUAACGGCCCACCAAGGCAUCGAUCGGUAGCUGGUCUGAGAGGAUGAUCAGCCACACUGGGACUGAGACACGGCCCAGACUCCUACGGGAGGCAGCAGUGGGGAAUAUUGGACAAUGGGGGCAACCCUGAUCCAGCAAUGCCGCGUGAGUGAUGAAGGCCUUCGGGUUGUAAAGCUCUUUUGGCGGGGACGAUGAUGACGGUACCCGCAGAAUAAGCCCCGGCUAACUUCGUGCCAGCAGCCGCGGUAAU